GCGGGCAUCAGGCACAAAUUUUAGCCCAAAACGCCUAGCCAAGCCACACCCCCAAGGGAAUUCAGCAGUGAUAGACAUUAAGCUAUGAGUGAAAACUUGACUCAGUCAGGGUUAAGAGGGCCGGUAAAACUCGUGCCAGCCACCGCGGUUAAACGAGAGGCCCUAGUUGAUAUUAUUACGGCGUAAAGGGUGGUUAAGGAAAUAAAAGUCAAUAAAGCCAAAUGGCCCUUUGGCCGUCAUACGCUUCUAGGUGUCCGAAGUCCGACCACACGAAAGUAGCUUUAGUAAACCCACCUGACCCCACGAAAGCUGAGGAACAAACUGGGAUUAGAUACCCCACUAUGCUCAGCCAUAAACCUAGACGUCAACCUACAAUUAGACGUUCGCCAGGGUACUACGAGCAUCAGCUUGAAACCCAAAGGACCUGACGGUGCCUUAGAUCCCCCUAGAGGAGCCUGUUCUAGAACCGAUAACCCCCGUUAAACCUCACCACUUCUAGCCACCCCA
RNAcentral lists this ribosomal RNA (507 nucleotides) under Pseudogobio polystictus. Its description in RNAcentral is "partial 12S rRNA". It matches the Rfam family "Bacterial small subunit ribosomal RNA", at positions 234 to 991 of the family's 1533-position model. The record is from RNAcentral. Lineage: Eukaryota; Metazoa; Chordata; Actinopteri; Cypriniformes; Gobionidae.